RNAcentral lists this ribosomal RNA (473 nucleotides) under uncultured Alphaproteobacteria bacterium. RNAcentral's name for it is "bacterial SSU rRNA". It matches the Rfam family "Bacterial small subunit ribosomal RNA", at positions 9 to 524 of the family's 1533-position model. The record is from RNAcentral. Lineage: Bacteria; Pseudomonadati; Pseudomonadota; Alphaproteobacteria.
GAGUUUGAUCGUGGCUCAGAGCGAACGCUGGCGGCAGGCCUAACACAUGCAAGUCGAACGAACCCUUCGGGGUUAGUGGCGGACGGGUGAGUAACACGUGGGAACGUACCCUUAGGUUCGGAACAACACAGGGAAACUUGUGCUAAUACCGAAUGUGCCCUUCGGGGGAAAGAUUUAUCGCCUUUGGAGCGGCCCGCGUCUGAUUAGCUAGUUGGUGAGGUAAAGGCUCACCAAGGCUACGAUCAGUAGCUGGUCUGAGAGGAUGAUCAGCCACACUGGGACUGAGACACGGCCCAGACUCCUACGGGAGGCAGCAGUGGGGAAUCUUGCGCAAUGGGCGAAAGCCUGACGCAGCCAUGCCGCGUGAAUGAUGAAGGUCUUAGGAUUGUAAAAUUCUUUCACCGGGGGAAGAUAAUGACGGUACCCGGAGAAGAAGCCCCGGCUAACUUCGUGCCAGCAGCCGCCGCGGUAAC